UUCACUUCUUUCUCUCAUCUCACUGACACACUAAAGUGCUUGAGAGAUGAAAUCUACGAGAGACAAAACCCAAAAAUAUGAAACCAAAUGUUGGUCACCCUCACCCACAAAGAAGAUGAAAUCCACGGUUCCAGCAGCUUUGCCUUGGGCAAAAUCCAAGUUUGUUUUGGAUACCGAAACCAGGUUUGUUCUGGACGAUGAAACCACCAUGGAGAAGACGAAAUCCACGGCCCUGAUACUUUACUUUGGGCGACGAAAUCCAUGUUUGUUUUAGACGACGAAUCCCCACGGAGGAGACGACUUUGCUCUGGGGACGAAAUCCAGGUUCAUUUUGGAUGGCGAAAGCCCCACGAAGGAGACAAAAUCCACGACCGCGACGACUUUGCUCCGUCGGCGAGCUUCAUUUCCCCUACCAUUGUUCUAGCGAUGAGCGUUGGAGUUUCUGGUGUGAAUGGUGAAGUUUUAAAUCCUGUUAAAUCACGAUGAGAUGAAAUUCAAGGUUUGGUUGAGUUUCUGUGUUUAUGAAUGUAUGAAGAUAGAGUUCUAAUGUAAUGUUCUUGUUGGUUUC
This is a long non-coding RNA of Vigna unguiculata (cowpea), 568 nucleotides long. RefSeq lists it as uncharacterized. NCBI's taxonomy places the organism in Eukaryota, Viridiplantae, Streptophyta, Magnoliopsida, Fabales, Fabaceae. The record is from RefSeq and is a predicted model, not a curated record.